GACGAACGCUGGCGGCGUGCUUAACACAUGCAAGUCGAACGGAAAGGCCCCUUUGGGGGUACUCGAGUGGCGAACGGGUGAGUAACACGUGCGUAACCUGCCCUUGACUUCGGGAUAACUUCAGGAAACUGGGGCUAAUACCGGAUAGGAAUCCUUGCUGCAUGGUGGGGGUUGGAAAGCUUCGGCGGUUUUGGAUGGACUCGCGGCUUAUCAGCUUGUUGGUGGGGUAGUGGCUUACCAAGGCUUUGACGGGUAGCCGGCCUGAGAGGGCGACCGGCCACAGUGGGACUGAGAUACGGCCCAGACUCCUACGGGAGGCAGCAGUGGGGAAUAUUGCAAAAUGGGCGGAAGCCUGAUGCAGCAACGCCGCGUGCGGGAUGACGGCCUUCGGGUUGUAAACCGCUUUCAGCAGGGGCGAAGCUUGUGGUGACGGUACCUGCAGAAGAAGCACCGGCUAACUACGUG
This 465-nucleotide ribosomal RNA is filed under the name uncultured bacterium. Its description in RNAcentral is "partial 16S ribosomal RNA". It matches the Rfam family "Bacterial small subunit ribosomal RNA", at positions 28 to 507 of the family's 1533-position model. The record is from RNAcentral.